This 673-nucleotide small RNA is filed under the name Pongo abelii (Sumatran orangutan). Its description in RNAcentral is "retained intron". Lineage: Eukaryota; Metazoa; Chordata; Mammalia; Primates; Hominidae. The record is from RNAcentral.
GGGCCACGUGGUCAAGGCCCUGGCCCUUGGAGCCUCCACAGGCCCCUGGCGAGUACUUCUUCUCAGACGGGGUGCGGCUCAAGAAGUACCGGGGCAUGGGCUCACUGGAUGCCAUGGAGAAGAGCAGCAGCAGCCAGAAACGAUACUUCAGGUUCCCUGACCCUGGGCCCCACCUGGGCAGAUCAGCCCACAACCCUUCAGGGCCCGCCCAUGCCACCGACUUCCCCAGAUGGCAGCCAGUCUCCAUAUGGUGGUUCUGGAAACUGAGGCACAGGGCAUAAGUAGCAGACACAGGAUCUGUCCCUGGGCCACCUGACUCAGAGCCCAGCGAGGGGCGGCCUGGGGGACCUUCCUGGGCAGUAUCCCGUUUUUGCCCUUAAGAGGUGGGGUGGGGUCCUCUGAGCUUCAGGCUGCUGGGCUCAGUCUUCCACCCUCCACGCAGUGAGGGGGAUAAAGUGAAGAUCGCGCAGGGUGUCUCGGGCUCCAUCCAGGACAAAGGAUCCAUUCAGAAGUUCGUGCCCUACCUCAUAGCGGGCAUCCAACACGGCUGCCAGGAUAUAGGGGCCCGCAGCCUGUCUGUCCUUCGGUCCAUGAUGUACUCAGGAGAGCUCAAGUUUGAGAAGCGGACCAUGUCGGCCCAGAUCGAGGGUGGCGUCCAUGGCCUGCACUCGUA